This 275-nucleotide ribosomal RNA is filed under the name uncultured bacterium. Its description in RNAcentral is "partial 16S ribosomal RNA". It matches the Rfam family "Bacterial small subunit ribosomal RNA", at positions 523 to 796 of the family's 1533-position model. The record is from RNAcentral.
AUACGGAGGGUGCAAGCGUUAUUCGGAAUCACUGGGCGUAAAGGGUGCGUCGGCGGUUUGAUAAGUCUGAUGUGAAAUCCUAUGGCUCAACCAUAGAACUGCAUUGGAAACUGUCAGACUAGAAUACUGAAGGGGCAGAUGGAAUUAGUGGUGUAGGGGUAAAAUCCGUAGAUAUCACUAGGAAUACCGAAAGCGAAAGCGAUCUGCUGGGAAGUUAUUGACGCUGAGGCACGAAAGCGUGGGGAGCAAACGGGAUUAGAAACCCCCAGUAGUCC